This 329-nucleotide ribosomal RNA is filed under the name uncultured eukaryote. Its description in RNAcentral is "partial 18S ribosomal RNA". It matches the Rfam family "Eukaryotic small subunit ribosomal RNA", at positions 1470 to 1796 of the family's 1831-position model. The record is from RNAcentral.
CCCUUAGAUGUUCUGGGCCGCACGCGCGCUACACUGACGAUGGCAACGAGUUUUUCCUUCGCCGAAAGGUGUGGGUAAUCUUUUGAAACAUCGUCGUGCUGGGGAUAGAUCAUUGCAAUUUUUGAUCUUGAACGAGGAAUUCCUAGUAAGCGCGAGUCAGCAGCUCGCGUUGAUUACGUCCCUGCCCUUUGUACACACCGCCCGUCGCUACUACCGAUUGAAUGGUUUAGUGAGGACUCCUGAUUGGCGCCGCCGCCCCGGCAACGGAGCAGCGGACUGCCGAAAAGUUGUUCAAACUUGAUCAUUUAGAGGAAGUAAAAGUCGUAACA